ACGGAGCACCCUUGACGGAGUUUUCGGACAACUGAUAGGAAUGCUUAGUGGCGGACUGGUGAGUAACGCGUGAGGAACCUGCCUUUCAGAGGGGGACAACAGUUGGAAACGACUGCUAAUACCGCAUGAUACAUUUGAGUGGCAUCGCUUGAAUGUCAAAGAUUUUAUCGCUGAAAGAUGGCCUCGCGUCUGAUUAGCUAGUUGGCGGGGUAACGGCCCACCAAGGCGACGAUCAGUAGCCGGACUGAGAGGUUGACCGGCCACAUUGGGACUGAGAUACGGCCCAGACUCCUACGGGAGGCAGCAGUGGGGAAUAUUGGGCAAUGGACGCAAGUCUGACCCAGCAACGCCGCGUGAAGGAAGAAGGCUUUCGGGUUGUAAACUUCUUUUAAGAGGGAACAGAAGAAGAGGGUACCUCUUGAAUAAGCCACGGCUAACUACGUGCCAGCAGCCGCGGUAAUACGUAGGUGGCAAGCGUUGUCCGGAUUUACUGGGUGUAAAGGGCGUG
This 508-nucleotide ribosomal RNA is filed under the name uncultured bacterium. RNAcentral's name for it is "bacterial SSU rRNA". It matches the Rfam family "Bacterial small subunit ribosomal RNA", at positions 53 to 571 of the family's 1533-position model. The record is from RNAcentral.